This 473-nucleotide ribosomal RNA is filed under the name uncultured bacterium. RNAcentral describes it as "bacterial SSU rRNA". It matches the Rfam family "Bacterial small subunit ribosomal RNA", at positions 917 to 1382 of the family's 1533-position model. The record is from RNAcentral.
GGACCCGCACAAGCGGUGGAACAUGUGGUUUAAUUCGAAGCAACGCGAAGAACCUUACCAGGACUUGACAUCUGAGGAACCUUGCAGAAAUGUGAGGGUGCCUUCGGGAACCUCAAGACAGGUGGUGCACGGUUGUCGUCAGCUCGUGUCGUGAGAUGUUGGGUUAAGUCCCGCAACGAGCGCAACCCUCGUUGUCAGUUGCCUGCAAAAGCCUGCUUUUGUAGUGCUCUCUGGCGAGACUGCCGGUGAUAAACCGGAGGAAGGUGGGGAUGACGUCAAAUCAUCAUGCCCCUUAUGUCCUGGGCUACACACGUGUUACAAUGGGUAGGACAGCGAGCAGCCAAUCAGCGAUGAUGAGCAAAUCUCUUAAACCUACUCCCAGUUCGGAUCGUAGUCUGCAACUCGACUACGUGAAGUCGGAAUCGCUAGUAACCGCAGAUCAGCACGCUGCGGUGAAUACGUUCCCGGGUCUU